RNAcentral lists this ribosomal RNA (775 nucleotides) under uncultured Neocallimastigales. Its description in RNAcentral is "partial large subunit ribosomal RNA". It matches the Rfam family "Eukaryotic large subunit ribosomal RNA", at positions 26 to 628 of the family's 3401-position model. The record is from RNAcentral. Lineage: Eukaryota; Fungi; Neocallimastigomycota; Neocallimastigomycetes; Neocallimastigales.
CGCAUCUGUGCAUGCAGCAUAUCAAUAAGCGGAGGAAAAGAAACUAACAAGGAUUCCCCUAGUAACGGCGAGUGAAGCGGGAAGAGCUCAAAUUUGAAAUCUUAAAGGGUUUCCCUUUACGAAUUGUAGUCUAAAGAAGUGUUUUCUGUUGAGGUUUUGGUAAAAGUUCUUUGGAAUAGGACAUCAUAGAGGGUGAGAAUCCCGUAUUUGACCUUUACUUUCAACUUUGUGAUACACUUUCAAAGAGUCGGAUUGUUUGGGAAUGCAGUCCAAAAUGGGUGGUAAAUUUCAUCUAAAGCUAAAUAUUGGCGAGAGACCGAUAGCGAACAAGUACCGUGAGGGAAAGAUGAAAAGAACUUUGAAAAGAGAGUUAAACAGUACGUGAAAUUGUCAAAAGGGAAGCGUUUGACACCAGUGUUGUUUUUCUGAAAAUCAAUUAAAGAACUGUUUAUGCUAAGCUGUUUAGACUUUAUCAGCUAUCUGUUUAGUUUUGAGCUUUUCUUUAAUGCACUUUUCAGUUAACAAGUCAACAUCAAUUUCUUUUGCUGUAAAAAAGCUUGAGGGAGGUGGCUUGAGAUUCGUCUUAAGUGUUUAUAGCCUCCUUGCCUAUGCAGUCGGAGAGAUUGAGGUCUGCAGCGUAGAUCCUUCGGGGCUAAAUGCAUUUGUGCUAAGUUAUAGCAUUUUAUAGACAACUUGUUGACUAUGAUUUGUCUUGUAGCUUACUCGCUUAUGUUAUUUUACCUACGCUUAGGAUGUUGAGUCGUAGAGCACGCAG